AGAGUUUGAUCCUGGCUCAGAUUGAACGCUGGCGGCAGGCCUAACACAUGCAAGUCGAGCGGUAACAGGAGAAAGCUUGCUUUCUUGCUGACGAGCGGCGGACGGGUGAGUAAUGUAUGGGGAUCUGCCCGAUAGAGGGGGAUAACUACUGGAAACGGUGGCUAAUACCGCAUAAUGUCUACGGACCAAAGCAGGGGCUCUUCGGACCUUGCACUAUCGGAUGAACCCAUAUGGGAUUAGCUAGUAGGUGGGGUAAAGGCUCACCUAGGCGACGAUCUCUAGCUGGUCUGAGAGGAUGAUCAGCCACACUGGGACUGAGACACGGUCCAGAUUCCUACGGGAGGCAGCAGUGGGGAAUAUUGCACAAUGGGCGCAAGCCUGAUGCAGCCAUGCCGCGUGUAUGAAGAAGGCCUUCGGGUUGUAAAGUACUUUCAGCGGGGAGGAAGGGAGUAAAGUUAAUACCUUUGCUCAUUGACGUUACCCGCAGAAGAAGCACCGG
RNAcentral lists this ribosomal RNA (499 nucleotides) under uncultured bacterium. RNAcentral's name for it is "bacterial SSU rRNA". It matches the Rfam family "Bacterial small subunit ribosomal RNA", at positions 8 to 496 of the family's 1533-position model. The record is from RNAcentral.